RNAcentral lists this ribosomal RNA (506 nucleotides) under uncultured bacterium. RNAcentral's name for it is "bacterial SSU rRNA". It matches the Rfam family "Bacterial small subunit ribosomal RNA", at positions 28 to 526 of the family's 1533-position model. The record is from RNAcentral.
GACGAACGCUGGCGGCGUGGAUUAGGCAUGCAAGUCGAACGGUGUCAUCCUUUCGGGGGUGAGAGAGUGGCGAACUGGUGAGUAACACGUAGGUUAUCUACCCUCAAGACGGGGACAACCCAGGGAAACUUGGGCUAAUACCGGAUGUGAGCAACUUUUAGUUGUUUGAAAGGUGGCGUAAGCUGUCGCUUGGGGAUGAGCCUGCGUCCUAUUAGUUAGUUGGUGAGGUAACGGCUCACCUAGGCAAUGAUAGGUAGGCGGCCUUAACGGGUGGUCGCCCACACUGGGAUUGAGAUACGGCCCAGACUCCUACGGGAGGCAGCAGUCGAGAAUAGUCUACAAUGGUCGGAAGACUGAUAGUGCGACGCCGCGUGAACGAUGAAUCCCUUCGGGGUGUAAAGUUCUUUUAUAUGUGAGCAGUGCUUCUUAUAUUAACAGUAUGGGGAGAGAGAUAUUAGCAUAUGAAUAAGCAACGGCUAACUCCGUGCCAGCAGCCGCGGUAAACU